AGAGAGAGACAUGCGCGCAUAUCAAUAAGCGGAGGAAAAGAAACUAACAAGGAUUCCCUUAGUAACGGCGAGUGAAGCGGGAAGAGCUCAAAUUUGAAAUCUUCAAGGUUUCUACCUUGACGAAUUGUAGUUUAAAGAAGUGUUUUCUGCUGAAGUUUUGGUAAAAGUUCUUUGGAAUAGGACAUCAUAGAGGGUGAGAAUCCCGUAUUUGACCAUUAUUUUCAGCUUUGUGAUACACUUUCAAAGAGUCGGAUUGUUUGGGAAUGCAGUCCAAAAUGGGUGGUAAAUUUCAUCUAAAGCUAAAUAUUGGCGAGAGACCGAUAACGAACAAGUACCGUGAGGGAAAGAUGAAAAAGAACUUUGAAAAGAGAGUUAAACAGUACGUGAAAUUGUCAAAAGGGAAGCGUUUGACACCAGUGUUGUUUUCUCGAAAAUCAAUUAAAAAUGGCUCGAUUUUGUAUUGCUUGAGACCUUAAAAGCUCACUGUACAUUUUUCGUGUCUUUUUUAAUGCACUUUUCGUUUAACAAGUCAACAUCAGUUUCUUUUGUUGUAAAAGGGUCAUUGGAAGGUGGCUUUCUUUUCGGAGAAAGUGUUUAUAGCCUUUGGCCUCUGCAAUCGGAGAGACUGAGGUCUGCAGCGUAGACUCUUCGGGGUUAGAUACAUUUGUGCUAAGUUAUAGCUUUUUAUAGACAACUUGUUGACUAUAAUUAGUCUUGUAGCUUACUCGCUUAUGCUAUUUUACCUACGCUUAGGAUGUUGAGUCGUAGAGCACGCAG
RNAcentral lists this ribosomal RNA (777 nucleotides) under uncultured Neocallimastigales. RNAcentral's name for it is "partial large subunit ribosomal RNA". It matches the Rfam family "Eukaryotic large subunit ribosomal RNA", at positions 23 to 626 of the family's 3401-position model. Lineage: Eukaryota; Fungi; Neocallimastigomycota; Neocallimastigomycetes; Neocallimastigales. The record is from RNAcentral.